This 411-nucleotide long non-coding RNA is filed under the name Rattus norvegicus (Norway rat). RNAcentral's name for it is "long non-coding RNA NONRATT001407". Lineage: Eukaryota; Metazoa; Chordata; Mammalia; Rodentia; Muridae. The record is from RNAcentral.
GCUCUGGGCUCAGCAGCGCGGGAGGCGACACUGGGUUCGCCUCUGCCUCCCCCGCGGCGGGCCCAGGCAUGGGGUUCCGCGGCCCGAGCCCCUCUGCAGGCGUGCAGGGCUCGGUACCGCGCACCACCGCCCUGCACUGACUGCCGCGCGGUACCCUGCGCUAGGAGGAGCAGAGGCCGCACACGGUCAGCGGAGCGGCUUCAGGAUGCUUAUCAAGGAGUACCACAUCUUGCUGCCCAUGAGCCUGGACGAGUACCAAGUGGCCCAGCUCUACAUGAUCCAGAAAAAGAGCCGGGAGGAAUCUAGUGGUGAGGGCAGUGGUGUGGAGAUCCUGGCCAACCGGCCCUACACAGAUGGACCCGGAGGCAAUGGGCAGUACACACACAAGGUGUACCACGUGGGCUCCCACAU